This is a long non-coding RNA of Parus major (Great Tit), 228 nucleotides long. RefSeq lists it as uncharacterized. The record is from RefSeq and is a predicted model, not a curated record. NCBI's taxonomy places the organism in Eukaryota, Metazoa, Chordata, Aves, Passeriformes, Paridae. The transcript is spliced from 3 exons.
CAGGUCUUUUACAGAGUGGUGCGAGGCUCAUGAGGGAGUGCAUUUACCAGUGACAGCUUUUAACCAUGGACACAUCCUCACUGUUCCUCAGCCAGCUGCUGGCCAAAGCUUUCCCUUCUGGAGGACAGCAAGCAUCCAGGAUCAUUUCCACUGCAUCUUCUGCCAUAUUGUGAUGGGAAGGAGAGACAGGAAAGGGUAUGAUGAAAAAAGUACAUGGAGCCAUUUUUG